CUGCCACACAUGCUUGGUGACCGUGUGUGCCAACACCACAUGCAUGCUGCUGGGAACAAGGACGCAGCUGCACGCAGUCUUUUGCAUGCCAGCGCCAGUCCCAGAUGAAUGGUGGCGCGGCGGUGGAACAGAAAAUCAACUAGGAAAGUUGCUGAUAUAACAAGUGAAACCCGAAGAAAAUCAGUUUCCUAGAAGACUCCGUGCUGCAGUGGAAGGAUUUAUUUGUGCCUGUCACAGGAAGACUAAAGGCUCAGUUGAUCUCCUGCAGAUUUUCUUCAUUAUCUUUGAUGUGGCCGAAAUGGUAUUUAUUUUGGAUCAGUAAUGCUUCUCAGCAACUCUCUUGGAAAGGGCGUGAUCCAUAUGACAUCUCAGGCCAAAGGAAACAUCAGCCCAAUCCCAUGCAAAUUUACCUAGAAGCAGGCUAUGCUGAAUUCAAUGGCAAUUAUUUCCAAGCAAGUGUGACUAAGAUUGUAGCCUUUCUAACAGAAUCUCGCCGGUUCUUGGGCAGUGCUUAUCAUUAGCAAGCAAAGAUCAAUGUGGAGGCUGGAUGACAUGGAUGGAUGACACUGAGGCUUUGUUGAAACAUUAACAGACCCUGAGAAAGUAAAAAUUAUAGGUGCAUCGCCAUACUAAUCAGCCAAUACAGUUAACAACCCAGACCUAAGCAUGUGUAAUCAGAGAUUUAAGAAGGGCUAUCUUGUCAUUAAACAUUUUAUUUAUUUAUUUAUUUA
Hemicordylus capensis (graceful crag lizard) is the source of this 731-nucleotide long non-coding RNA. RefSeq lists it as uncharacterized. The transcript has 3 exons. The record is from RefSeq and is a predicted model, not a curated record. NCBI's taxonomy places the organism in Eukaryota, Metazoa, Chordata, Lepidosauria, Squamata, Cordylidae.